RNAcentral lists this long non-coding RNA (11073 nucleotides) under Malus domestica (apple). Its description in RNAcentral is "long non-coding RNA (MDOM_LNC004518)". The record is from RNAcentral. Lineage: Eukaryota; Viridiplantae; Streptophyta; Magnoliopsida; Rosales; Rosaceae.
GAUGACUGCCUCCUGGUCUGAAUGGACAACCUCAGGCUUGAACAAUGUGCAGAACCACUGACUUGUAUCUUCCUCUGGCUUGGAAGCCCCAGCUACAAUCCAAUACUGCCGGCGGUUUGCCCUUCUCAAGUACCUGUUGUUGUAACAGUUUUUGAUAUGCACGAGUCCUCCGUUACCGCUGUCUGCCGACUCCAUUUGGAACUUUGCGUACUCUCUCUUAACCUUGUCUUCGGAGAGUUGGACAAGCCCAUCAAGAUUCUCGAUUCUUUCAUGUAUGUAGCGCAGGUACUUUUGGUCGUCGUUUGAUUUCAGCGCAAAAAACCUUGGUAGUAUGGUUGCCAUGUUAUUUGCAAACAUAUCUUUCUCCAUUCUCUCUCAAUUUUAAUUUAAUUUAAUUUAAUUGGGAUAAUCUAUCUCUCUCUCUCUCUCUUUCUUCAUCUUCUCUUCUUCAGCUGUUAUUUUAUUUAUAAAGCCCACACCUAACUGAGGUUCGUCGUCAAACGGCCGGAGAUGGCCGAGUUCUAGCUUGAGGUCCGUGAGCUUGCCGGACCUGGAUUUGGGUGAAGGAUUAUUUUGUGAAAACAUGUUCAUUUAAGCAACAUCUAUAAGCAUGCAAUUAACAAUUAAAGGCGGAAUCAUGCUAGCAUGCACUUAAAAACAAAACAUUAACCAUGAAAUUCAAAGCCUAGUAGAUUGGUGAACCAAUAAACAACUCAAAACAAAGUGAGUUGAAAUAUAUACCUUUGUAGAUUCCUCUUUGUAUUUAAACAAAGGUUAAUCACCCAAGAGAUAGGGCCUUCAUUCCUUGCAUCUAAGAUCCAUGGAUUUGGAUGGAUCUACACCAAGGAGAGCAUGGAUGAUAAAUGAGUGACCAUGGAAGAAUAGAUGGCUAGCUACAACUUCCAUGGUGGCCGGCCUUUCUAGAGAGAAAUGGAGAGACAAUUCUCACCAAUUUUCUCUAAAACAAACCCCUAAUGAAUAAAAGGCUAUAAAGUCAUAUUUAUACCUUUAUUCAUUUGAGUGGCAAACUUGUAAUUAAAGCAAGUUCACUACCCUUUCUCUAUAUGGCCGGCCAUGGGGGGGUUGUUUGGGCUUUUGGGUCUUAGUGAAUCAUUAUUCAUUAAGUUGUCAUACAACUUAAGUCAAUGGGCUUGACGUUCGAAGCCCAUUGGGCCUUAAGGUCCAAAACCUAUCCCGAGGUCUUUAACGAACUUAUUCGUUUGAUUAAUUAACAUAUUAAUUAAUCCUUGCCAUAAAUAAUUAAACUAUUCAAUUAUUCUUACUCAUUUAGUUUGUUUCAUCCAUCUCCACCUUAUACGGUGUACGAUCCAUUAGGUUCCUUUUAGCGAGGCAGUGGGCGAUCAAAACUCUUUCAAAUCGAUUAUGAAUUGAAACUUACUUUCAAUUCUCCCUUUAGUGAUAAUACACUUUUAGGGCUUCCACAAACCAUGAGUGACACCUAGCCGUAUGUCAUGGUUACCCAAGCUAAUCAGAAGAGGUUAAGAACCUAUUCAGUUUAGGAUUACAAAUGCAAUACGGUCCUUCUCUAAUACAAUACUCUUGACCACAUUGUUUGGUUUGAUAGUUUAUUCAUGUCUAUUAUCCAAUGUGAAUCUUGUGCAUAUAUGAUUACUUUGAAUGUGAUUUGGAACGCAUUCCUAAAUCUCAUUCAUACUCUGGCCAGAGAUUCUAAAUCAUAUCAUAGAGUAUUCUCCCUCAAACGGUUUGAAGGUUAGAGAUCCCUUGUUGCGCAUUCACUUGCCUCCAUGACUAAGUGGCUUAACCCCAACGAUGCCGUAGACACCCCGAUGGGGUGACAUUGACAUAAUCAAAGAUCAAGGACUUAACCACAAGACAACUGUGAUGCCUCAGGUCAAAGGACUAAUUUGCAUUAUCCCAAACAUGAGUUCUUAUGUGACAUGAGUAUGAGAACUCUUCGUUGAUCGCGUUCAGUGAACUCAUUCUCUACUGAGCACCUACGUACUUGUCUUAAUGUCACACACACCAAUGACUCGAGACUAGUCACUCUCCCUGGGAGAAGACAUAGCACGUACCGAUCUUGACGGACUGUCAAUGCCCAAUUGGCAAUCCUAUGAUCAGGAACAUUUAGGAUGUGUCUACGAAAGAAUGGUCUCAUGAAUCUAACUUCAUUAGAUUACAUUCUUCCAAUCACAUAUUCCUUGGACUUUAUCGUUUAAGCAUAUAACAUUUAUAUGAGACGGCUCAAACAAUAAUCUUUGCCCUUUAUAGUUAAACUAGAUUAGUUUAACAUGCGAAAUGUCCGUAAAGUAUCAUCAUAUGAUUGGUUUUAGGGCACAUUUCCAACAAUCUCCCACUUGCACUAGAGCCAAUCAGCUUGGUCAUCAGUGAUGAUACCUCUUCUGUAGUCAUUUCAUAAAUGGCUGAAUAGUAGGCCUAGACAAUGGAUAUCUAUAUGUUAUCCAUAGAAGCAACCUUGAGAAUAACGACGUCACCAUUAUACAUGAUUCUCAAUCAUGUGGUUCAGUCUCUCAUAUGAGUUCGGAUCUUGAUGAGACCUUGAUUCCCAGGCUUGAGCUAUCGCCCCAUUAGUGUCAUAGUGUCAGUACACUAGAUACACUUUCUGGUUGGAACCGAAUAGAGAGUUCACUAAAUGAACUUUCCCAUCCAAACAACAUUGUUGCAAACUUCUAUAUGGCAAUAUAUUUUGCAUUCAUAAUGGAACACACUAAAGUCAUUACUUUAAUGUUUCCAUCCAAAUAUCUCUUUAGUCAUAAUAAAGAGAUAUUCGUUUAUCUCUUCAUUCAUAAUGAAGAAACAUCCAAUGAUGGAUUAGAUUCAUAAUCUAAUACAUUUACGCUUCCAUUACGUUACUCUAAUUCUUCCUCGAUCUUUGAGGAAUUUAUCCUUUAGUAUUUCUUAAAUACUUAAGGACUCACUUGACAGUUGCCAUGGUUCUGAUCCUGGGCUUGCAUUGAUAUCGUCUUGUACCGUUCUAGGUACAACUCAUAUCAAUGUUUUUCAUACAAUAUGAAAUACAUAAAUCACCUUUAUGCGUAUGCAUAAAGGAUUCUUAUUUACGCAUUAUUUCUUUGGGAGUCAAAGGGUACGUUCCCUUUGAGAAGGGCAACUUGCUAGUCACACUAGAGUCAUCCUUAUUUGAAGUUUAUCAUCAUAUGAGAAACUUCCUAGCAACUUUUGUCUAUUAUUAGGGAUUGAUAUAAUCAAAUUAUAUCUUGAAAUCUAUCAAUAUAGAUUUCCAUCCCAUGUAUAUAGACAAUGUCUCCCAUAUACAUUCUAUCGUUAUAGAAUGCUUAAAGUCAUAACUUUAAUGAAGAAAUAUUCUUUUCACUUCCAAAAUUAAUAUAUCAUAUAUAUUCAUACAUAUCACAUAUAUAUUUAUAUAUAUAUACAAAUUUAGGAAUAUGAUUAACUCCCACUAAUCUUUUGUAAACCUAGUAAACAAAAGAUUCAUUUACAUCUUUAUGAGAAAGCAAACGAUUUGACCUUUCUCUCAUAAGACGCUUAUAGCUCCCACUAGCUUGCUAAGAUCCAUGAUGGAUGGAUCUCUACAACUUAUAUGUCUUGUGAUUCAUAGUUUUAGACAUAUAUUAUCAAGACUAUCUUAAUAAUGGUUUCGGAAACCCAUAUUAUGUCCAAACAUUGAAUCACCAUUUAGUUGUCGCUAGCUAUCUUCGAAUUAAUUGAAACUAAGACUACGUCAAAAAUGGUUCCUUUAAAGUCAACCAUUCUCUUUGAUUGUAGUCACCUUAAGCUACCAAUUAGCUAUGAAGGUUUCAUUAUUUCGAGUCAAAUGGUACUUUACCAUUUCCUUGAGUAUAUAUCAUAUAUAUACACUCAAUGUAGUCAUAAGGAUUUUCAUUCUUAUUUCUUUCGAAUUAAGAGGUGUAACUCUAUGACAUAGUCAUAAAGUUCAAACCAUUCAACUGAGAUGGUUUAUAAAUCCUUCUCGACUACCUUGGAGCUUUUGGUAUAGGAACUAGGUUGUUUAUAUUUGUUGAUUACUUUCUUGUCUCUCAAAGAACACAUUCUUUGAGUUCUAUCUCUCGUUCAUUUGCUUUUAGGCAAAUCACAUUGUAGGAUUACAAUGAACUACCCAACAAAACAACAUUUGUUAAUUGGUUUAUAGAAGCGAUAUCCAAAAGUUAAUUUAAGGAUAUCCUACAAGAUUGUUAUCAAACAAAUAUUGCUUAUAAGCACACAACCCCAAAUCUUAACAUGCUUAAGAUUUGUCUUUCUUUCCAACUACAUCUUAUGGAGUCAUGAAAAAUUUGGAAGAUCUUCUAAUUGACAAUCAUAUUGUCUUAGAAGCAUAUAUAUCCUAUAUAUGGGUAAAAGGUCGUACCCAGUGCACAAGGCUCCCGCUUUACGCAGGGUCUGGGAGAGGUGAAUGUCGGCUAGCCUUACCCCCAUUUAUGGAGAGGCUGCUCCCAAGUCUCGAACCCGAGACCUACCGCUCAUGGGCGAAGGCACUUGCCAUCGCACCAAGUGCGACCUCUCGAAAACCCAAGAAAUAAGAAAGAAAAAACGAAAAAAAUGGGGAAGCCACCGUCUAUACUUCAUAGGUAUCGGCUAGGCUGUCUACAGACUCUUCUCUUUGGUGUUCGGCCAUUUGGAUUCUGGUUUCUGGUUGGUUCGUGUCAGUUGUGCCUUCAUCUGUUACCGCUGACAAGGAUUUCGUGUGAUUCUUGUUGUGCCUCAUUUUGAGCAUCCGUGAUAGCACUUGUACAAUGUCUCUCAUGGAAGGCCGUUUCUUUGGGGUACGGUUGACACAUUUAUAUGCCAGAGCUGCCACUUCGUUAAGCUCUUGCAUAUGGGUAAUUGAUAAUAUCCAACGAACUAAAUCUUAUUCAAGUUCGUUCUUCUCCUAAUGGAGAAAUCUAUUAUCUUAUGAUGCUUCUUUCCUUGAUAUCUUUCAAGAAAACUAUUCUAAAGUGUUACCAUUCCUUGGAUCAAAUCUAAGGAUGUAAAUACUUUAGACGUCUUACUCAUCAACUUACAUUUCUUGAAUUCUUUGAAACCUUUUGCAAAGUAUUCGGACUUGUGUUUAUUUAAAAUAAACUAUAGUCCAACUGAGGGUGAUCUUCGGUGAAUGUCAUACAACAUGAGUAGUAUUAUGUUGUGGACAAGUGCCACUAACAUCUAAGUGAAUUAUCCUCAACAACUUUGUGAUUCUUUAUUCUUUCCAAAAGAAUGAAGAUUCAAACAUUUUGCCUCUAUACAAUUUUAACAAGAAGGCAUUGGAUCCGGAUCUAACGAUCCUAAGUAUCCAUCCAUGACUAACUUGUAAUUUAUGUUUUUAGAGGUAUCACAACUUUAGUUGGGAUUAGUCACUACCUUGCAACCUUUUGGGUUUUAAGCAUCGUUGUAUUCUAAACAGUUAACACUACCAUAUCAUCUCUACUAUAGAGACAAUCAAUUAGAUUACUAUAAUCCAAUCAUUGAUUAAUAAAGAACAAUGUUUUGUCAAACAAAACAUUCAUCCAUCUCUACUAUAGUGACGGAAUUAAAUUCCUUAAAAUUGGAAUGUAAAGACAAUCUUUGGUUUUUCCAAUUUCUUUGGUAGUUCAUAUGAGGAAGUAAGUACCAUCUGCUUUCGCAGAGAUCUAUAUUUGAUUCACUUUCCGAAUGUGAAGCACCUUUUCCUUCUUUCAUAUAUCUUCUACUUCUUAUUAGUCACACUUUUACAACGAUUGUAAAACAUAGUUACUAAUACGGAAUCAAGCAUUCAAGUAGAAGAACCAACUGUUUUGAACUUUUCAAGAACAAUUUACAACACCUUCGAAAGGUGUCUUCUUGACAUUUGCAAGACAUUUCUUGCAAAUACCCCUUCCAAUGUCCAUCCUUUCAUAAAGAAAGUUUGUUCCCUUGGAGUUAAUUUUGUCUUCUUCAUUUGACUUCUCCUUUGACUACAAUAGUCAUGGUCCCUAAACUCCCACUAUCUCUCUUGAAACUUAUUUCAAUUGUGUUAUACACAUCAAACAUUUUGGAGAGCAUGUGGUUAUUGUUCACUACAUAGUUUACAAUAAACUUAGUGAACCAUAAGGAUAAGGACACAAAGGUGAAGUCCUUGCCUAGUUCCCGUCUCUAGAAGUGUUUUAACACUUCAACACUCAAUGAUUCAAAAUCAUCAUAAGUCCAUGUUGAUGGACUAUUUUUGUCAACCAACCAUUAUGUUCUAAACAUAACUACAAACUUUCAAGAGUUGUACAAGGCAACUCUCAUUUCUUCAUACAACAAUUUGUAAGUGAAGAAUCAUGGCACAUUAAGUGUCCAUGCCUUUGUGCUUUCUUCUUAAGUUCUUUGUUCAUUUAACAAAGAAACAAGCACUAAGUGUUUGCAUUGACUAAGGGUUGUUCAAAACAACUCAUUAUUUCUUCAUACAACGAUUUGUAAGUGAAGAACUAAUAACACUAAAAGUGUCCUUUUCUUUAUGCUAAUCUUCGUAAGUUCCUUUGUUCAUAUAACGAAGGAAUAAGCAUUGGUUGUUUGUGUUGUCCUCUUCAUGAUAGACUUAUCUAACAUGUUCUUUCAAUGAUACAUUACCAAUAGAAAGAUUUUGAGGAUGAGACUACUUAGGUACAUAUACAAUCCAUUUAAGACAUUCUUUGGGAUUGUGGUACCAAGUCCGGAAACUAAAACAUUCGGUUUUAUUUGUCAAGUGUUGGAUAGCGUUUGCAAAUAUAUUGGUAAACAAAUACAUAACGAAUAUAAAUCGAUUGAUUUUAAGCCAUUUGAUUCGGGUCUUUAAAUCAAAAUAGCACCACCCACUAUUUUUGGCAAAUUCCAUAUCCCUCAUUGGAAUUCGAGAGUUUUGGAUGAAACUCUUAGUAGGGUAUGGGAGGCUCACUAUUACCAAGCCCACCUCACAAUGAUAUGAUGUUGGCUAGCAUUAAUAAUAAUGAGAGAGUACACUUACUCAUUUGCAACUAAUGCAAGUACCCAUCUUAUUCGGCCUCUAGAGAAUGUCACCUCACAAUGAUAUGAUGUUGGCUCCAUUGCACUUAGUUAAGUCAUUCCCACCAUGCUUAGUUCAUGAAGGGGUUCAAGAAUAGCCUCACGAUGAUACGAUGUCGGCCAUCCUCGUUGCCUACACUAACCUCAUCAUAUGUUUAUGGAUUCCUCCUGAGUAUAAGCAUGCACUUUGUACUCCCCCAUGAUAGGGUGAAGCCGGUGUACAAGUCAUAAACGAUUGGAGCCACCACGGUGGAAGGCCUACGAAAGAGUGUUCAAAGCACUCUCACGCUUAUCAACUUAAUAAUUGUUUGGUUGAGGGUUUUAGGUCUCAUCACAUAUAAAUAUACAUUUUAAUCUCUAUUAAAACAAUUUUGGUCCUAUUACAACUAUUGGUCCAUAUGAUUGUUUUUAGUUGUAUAUAAUACUCCCACUAUGCUUAUAAAACGGUUUUUAAAGCAAGAGUAUAUGAUACUACUACUAACAUAACCUUUGCAUUCAUUUGAUGGACUAUAUAGUUGCCUUAGGGCCUUAGGAUGAUUAUGAACCUUGGUUUAGAUUCAACACGAGCCUUGUGUUGAAUCUCGGUCUAGGAAUGGUGAUUGAUUUUAGUUACGCGUUUAAUCACAUUAAGGCGUGUUGUCUUAGGGGCGUUGGACCCAACUACUUCAUUUUCAUGCAUAUCAUAUAAAGCAAGAAAGAAGUACUUCAAAGUAAAGGUGAGCUUAUGCUCAUUACAACAUUUGCAUAAAAUAAAUUACUUUAAAGUAAAGAAGAGCUUAAGCCCUUUUACAACAUUUGAUCAAAUCAAAUUACAACCAAAAUUAAUCUACACAUUCCCAUGGUUCAAACAAAUUUGAAACGGCCUAUCACAUAGCUCAAUUAUAUUAGGCUUAGGUUCAUAAUCACCCUUUAAUUAAUUAACACUUUAACUAAUUAAAUUGAAUGCAACAUUUUCAUUUGGUUUUUGUAUCCAUAAAAUUGAUUUAAAUGGAGCUAAACAAAAUGAAAAUCCAAUUCUCAUUUAAAGAGACAAAACAAUUUUGUUCUCUACUUAAUUUGGGCCAAUAUGCAAUAACCACAACUUUUGGGCCAUAAAGCAAUUAACCUCAACUUUUGGGCUAUAUUGCAAAACUUUUGGGGUCACUUUGUAAAGACACAAAAGUCCACUACUUCAUAUAAUUACAAUAGAACCCAAAAUUUAAUCAAUGCAAAAACUUCAUUAAAGGAGCAAAACAAUUUGUCCUUUAGCGUUUUUGGACCUAAACGUAAAAACGUAAACUUUUGGGCCAAAGUGCAAAUACACAAAAGUAUCAAAACUUUAUGUAAUUGCAUAAAAGACCCAAAAGUACUCCCACUUGAGGGAGGGCCGGUUUUUAGAGAGGGAAAGGGAGUGGAGAUAAGUCCACAAAAAUUUGGAAAUUUUUUUCAACAAUUUCAUAAAGCCUUGCAAGUGGUUUUUGGUUGGUGUAAAUCAUUAAACCAUGCAUGUGGUGUGUAAGGUGUGUAAGGUGUGUAAGUCUUACACACCCAUCACAAUUUCUAUCACCUUUCAAAAUAAAUGUUUUGGUGAUAGAAAAUUCACAUCAACCAACACAAAACAAAGACUUUAUGAAAUUAACCAAAACUUUGAAUCAAAACACAAACCUUUUUGUUCUUGGCAAAAAUGUCAAGAACAAUGAAGAACACUCAUGAAAAAACUCAAAAUUUUCCAUGAACAUUUUUCACCCAAAAACAUUCCCAAAAACAUUCAAACUUAAGGGAAAUAACAUCUAACCAAACUAGGGUACAUAGGGGUUCCAAAAGUCACUUUAAAACACUUUUAACAAGUCAAACAAGAACCCAAAAAAAUACCCUUUGUAUUUGGCCGAAAAUUCCCAAAAGCAUGGCACCAAAUUUUAGCUCCAAUAUUCAUGCUCAUAUGAACUACAUCUACAACAUUUGAGAUGGCAAAUUUUCUAGCAAAAUUUACAUUCAAAGAAACAAGAAUAAAGCUUGUAACAAUUACAACUUUUAAAUCACAAACUAUGAACUACAAAACCCAAAAGGAUUCACCAACUACUAGACCUAGGCUCUGAUACCACUUGAAGGAUUAUUUUGUAAAAACAUGUUCAUUUAAGCAACAACUAUAAGCAUGCAAUUAACAAUUAAAGGCGGAAUCAUGCUAGCAUGCACUUAAAAACAAAACAUUAACCAUGAAAUUCAAAGCCUAGUAGAUUGGUGAACCAAUAAACAACUCAAAACAAAGUGAGUUGAAAUAUAUACCUUUGUAGAUUCCUCUUUGUAUUUAAACAAAGGUUAAUCACCCAAGAGAUAGGGCCUUCAUUCCUUGCAUCUAAGAUCCAUGGAUUUGGAUGGAUCUACACCAAGGAGAGCAUGAAUGAUAAAUGAGUGACCAUGGAAGAAUAGAUGGCUAGCUACAACUUCCAUGGUGGCCGGCCUUUCUAGAGAGAAAUGGAGAGACAAUUCUCACCAAUUUUCUCUAAAACAAACCCCUAAUGAAUAAAAAGGCUAUAAAGUCAUAUUUAUACCUUUAUUCAUUUGAGUGGCAAACUUGUAAUUAAAGCAAGUUCACUACCCUUUCUCUAUAUGGCCGGCCAUGGGGGGGGGUGUUUGGGCUUUUGGGUCUUAGUGAAUCAUUAUUCAUUAAGUUGUCAUACAACUUAAGUCAAUGGGCUUGACGUUCGAAGCCCAUUGGGCCUUAAGGUCCAAAACCUAUCCCGAGGUCUUUAACGAACUUAUUCGUUUGAUUAAUUAACAUAUUAAUUAAUCCUUGCCAUAAAUAAUUAAACUAUUCAAUUAUUCUUACUCAUUUAGUUUGUUUCAUCCAUCUCCACCUUAUACGGUGUACGAUCCAUUAGGUUCCUUUUAGCGAGGCAGUGGGCGAUCAAAACUCUUUCAAAUCGAUUAUGAAUUGAAACUUACUUUCAAUUCUCCCUUUAGUGAUAAUACACUUUUAGGGCUUCCACAAACCAUGAGUGACACCUAGCCGUAUGUCAUGGUUACCCAAGCUAAUCAGAAGAGGUUAAGAACCUAUUCAGUUUAGGAUUACAAAUGCAAUACGGUCAUUCUCUAAUACAAUACUCUUGACCACAUUGUUUGGUUUGAUAGUUUAUUCAUGUCUACUAUCCAAUGUGAAUCUUGUGCAUAUGUGAUUACUUUGAAUGUGAUUUGGAACGCAUUCCUAAAUCUCAUUCAUACUCUGGCCAGAGAUUCUAAAUCAUAUCAUAGAGUAUUCUCCCUCAAACGGUUUGAAGGUUAGAGAUCCCUUGUUGCGCAUUCACUUGCCUCCAUGACUAAGUGGCUUAACCCCAACGAUGCCGUAGACACCCCGAUGGGGUGACAUUGACAUAAUCAAAGAUCAAGGACUUGACCACAAGACAACUGUGAUGCCUCAGGUCAAAGGACUAAUUUGCAUUAUCCCAAACAUGAGUUCUCAUGUGACAUGAGUAUGAGAACUCUUCGUUGAUUGCGUUCAGUGAACUCAUUCUCUACUGAGCACCUACGUACUUGUCUUAAUGUCACACACACCAAUGACUCGAGACUAGUCACUCUCCCUGGGAGAAGACAUAGCACGUACCGAUCUUGACGGACUGUCAAUGCCCAAUUGGCAAUCCUAUGAUCAGGAACAUUUAGGAUGUGUCUACGAAAGAAUGGUCUCAUGAAUCUAACUUCAUUAGAUUACAUUCUUCCAAUCACAUAUUCCUUGGACUUUAUCGUUUAAGCAUAUAACAUUUAUAUGAGACGGCUCAAACAAUAAUCUUUGCCCUUUAUAGUUAAACUAGAUUAGUUUAACAUGCGAAAUGUCCGUAAAGUAUCAUCAUAUGAUUGGUUUUAGGGCACAUUUCCAACAUUGGGUACCCCGAAGUUCCACAGAGACGGAGGGAGAGAGAUGAGAGAUUCACGAGGGUGGUGCUGCUGAUGUGCCGUCAUCGGGGUGGCUCUGGUACCUCGGUGUGUGGGUGUGGGUUCGAUCGGCGAGAGAGUGCGAGAGAGAGAUGAGAGUUAGCUGAAAGACGGACCUGGAUUCUAGCUUGAGGUCCGUGAGCUCGCCGGACCUGGAUUUGGGUGCCCUCUGGGUGCCCCGAAGUUCAACAGAGACGGAGGGAGAGGGAUGAG